GGAAUGGCUGUGAUGCUUCUGAUUAAAUUUAUGAGAGAAGUAUUUUCCCUCUGAUUAAACAAUCCAAUGGAUCCUUCUGAGCUUUUUC
This is a small nucleolar RNA of Salvia splendens (bonfire salvia), 88 nucleotides long. NCBI's taxonomy places the organism in Eukaryota, Viridiplantae, Streptophyta, Magnoliopsida, Lamiales, Lamiaceae. The record is from RefSeq and is a predicted model, not a curated record.